RNAcentral lists this ribosomal RNA (359 nucleotides) under uncultured bacterium. RNAcentral's name for it is "bacterial SSU rRNA". It matches the Rfam family "Bacterial small subunit ribosomal RNA", at positions 70 to 422 of the family's 1533-position model. The record is from RNAcentral.
GUCCAUCUGUUAGCAAUAACAGGGAAGACUGAGUGGCGAACGGGUGAGUAACACGUGAGAAACCUGUCCCGGUCUCUGGGAUAACAGUCGGAAACAACUGCUAAUACCGGAUGACGUCGGAGCAUCGCAUGGUGCGCUGACGAAAGGGUUACUGGAUCGGGAGGGUCUCGCGGCCUAUCAGCUAGUUGGUGGGGUAACGGCCUACCAAGGCAUCGACGGGUAGCUGGUCUGAGAGGAUGAUCAGCCACACUGGGACUGAGACACGGCCCAGACUCCUACGGGAGGCAGCAGUGGGGAAUCUUGCGCAAUGGGCGAAAGCCUGACGCAGCAACGCCGCGUGCGGGAAGAAGGCCUUCGGG